Molecule: long non-coding RNA, 4433 nt
Filed under: Homo sapiens (human)
Lineage: Eukaryota; Metazoa; Chordata; Mammalia; Primates; Hominidae
Description: HSALNT0312170
Source: RNAcentral
GCUUGCUUAGUAUUUUUAAACAUAUUGAAUUAGUGGCCAGCAUUUAAAUAUAGUGAGCCCUCAUACAAAAGACCACAUUUCUGGCUACUCUUGUAAUUCAGUCAGAAGAUCUAGAACACUGGACCAGCCUUAGAAGAGGAAGAAUAGCCUAGAAUGGUGAUUCUCAGAGUGUCCCUGGAUCACCUGGGAACUUUUUAAAGAUGCAUUUUCUCUGUCCUUCCUCCUCUAGUGACUGAAUUGGCCCUGACCAUUUUUAUUUUAACAAGCCCUUCCACACUAAAAUUUUAUUUUAACAACCAGUUCAGAAUCACUUGAAGUGAUUCUGAUGCACCCCAAACCUUGAGAACCGCUCAUCGCCCUUAGUGGAUAAAGAAGGCUGAUCGGCUUUGGAAAUAGAAUGUCAGGCUUUCAAUUCUGGUUUUGCCGCUUCCUAGCUCUGUGGGGUUAGACAAACUACUUAAUCUCAUUGUGACUCUGUGUGCUCAUUUAUAACCUGGGGAUGAUAAUAGGACCUUCCUGCUAGGGUUAUGAGGAUUAAAUGAGUUCAUAUGUGUAAAGUACUUAGACCCUUAGAGUGAUAACAUAACAAAGGUUACUUGCUGUUAACGUCAGCUGAGGCUUAGCAAGCAGGUGCCUGCUUAAGAUGGAACCUUUGCUGGAUUGCUACUUUAUUAGGACACCAUCCAGCACGCUUUCCUUUUUCAUGUGACCUGCCUUGUCCCUGUGGGCUUUCAGGUUGUCAUGCCCGAUGAUGUGAGAUGGCAUGCCCAGUUGUCAGCAAUGAUUCCCGUACCCACCCAUUGUAGAGUACUAACAUAUAUUGUGUACCUACUGUGUACCAAGCACUACACGAGGCCCUUAGCAUACUUUCAUACUUUAUUCAUUUCUACUCCCCAACAGCUCAACAAGGUUAAUAUUGUUAUUCUCACUUCACAGAUGAAGAACUGAAGACUCAGAGAGGUUAAAUAAUUUGUUUAAACACACACAGCUGGUAAGUGGCAGAGCAAGCAUCAAACCCAGGUAUCAAACUCUGUUUUGUUUUCUUUUCAUCCGUGUUUCCAAAAUAUGGAACACAUGCCACAGUAGCUUCCAGAUGAUUUUAUAUGGCAUCGAGAUGGUUUUAGGUGGUGAAGAAGGUGGUUUUAGUUGGUAUAAAAAUUCUGCAUUAAAUUAAACAAAGUACACAGAAAAAAGUUAAUAUACUUUAAGUUCUCCCACAAACUUGAGGGGAAAGUCUGAGUUGGUGCUGAUGAGUUUUUUUUUUUCCUUUUACAUAAAUUCCAGUGCAAUAAUAAUAUUUAAGAUUAUGCAUUUUAGUUACAUUAAUUGAAGGUGUCUUUUUAAGAGACUGUAUAAACAAACUAGGAAAAGAAAUUCUAUAUUUAAAUUGGCACUUAGGAGCAUCUAGAAAGGUUUUCCUUUAUUUUGAAACAUAAUUGAAUUAAAUGCCAAAUAUUUUUAUUUAAUCAUUUCUAAUGGAACUUGUAUUAAAAUAGUUUGUCAACAGUAACCAGCACAGGAUAUGGCAUAAAGUAAGUGGUCAGUAGAGGUUUUCCUGAACUAAAGUGAUUCGUAUACUCUCGAGCCUUUUCAAAUGACACAUAUCUUUUAGUUUGAUCUUGAUUUAGAAUUACAAGAUUGUUAACAACUCUCUAUUACCUGUAAUCUCCUUAAAAAAAAAAAAAAAGAGAACCAAAGGCCCAAAGCCUUUGAUAAACAGGGGUGUCUAGAAAAAUUGAAUAAGUUGUCAAAAUUUAAUUUUUACAAGUUAUAUUUAUGGCAAGUAAAAAUGGUUUUCAUAUAUAAUAAUUUAUUACAUAAAACUUUCUAUUCAAAUAGUUUUCUUAAUAAAACCAAAGCCAGUUAAAACUAUGCUCAAUAAAUAAUAUUAAGGGUGGUCUGCAGAUACGGCAUAUGUCGCGAAGAUGGGAUGGCAAUGCCAGAUGUGUGGAAACUGCUGCUGUUGUCAUAAGAAGGAAGGAUAGCAAUGGCUGGCAUUCCACCCAGAGAGAGUCCUGUAGUCCUCUGCAUAAACCUCAGAGGGAGCUGUCCUCAACAGCUUGCCAUUAAUGUGACAGCCACUUCCUGGUAAAAAGUCAAGUCCUGACAGAGGAAGGUUAGAGAAGGUGUGAGUCUAUCAACUGAAGACAGUGAGCUAAAUCAGCAUUUUAGACAUUGGAGCUCAGAUCCUACUCUUCAGGGGCAGAAACCAUGGCCUUUUGGUUCAGUGACUCUCUGUAGAAAAGCAGUACCCACAAGUAGAUGUUUAAAUUGACAAAUGGAUCCUGAUGGGGAAGCAGUGCUGGGGGAAAGGGGCAGAUGGUGUAGAGUAUCAGUCUGUGGUCUCACUUCUUCUUAUAACUUUACAUCUGCUGCCCCAACUCUUUGAAAAAGAAAAGCGCAUCCUCAGGAAUUGUCUCCCAGAAAAUGAGCCACUUGCCUUUUAGUUGAGGUCUUUGGGGUGGAUCAAGGGAGGCCUGAAUUGGCUUCCUGGGUCUCUCAAUUACCAGCAUUUUGACCUUGAGCAAGUCACUUAAUCUCUUGUUAUCUGUAAAAUGGGAAGGGUAUAUUAGAUGUGAAUUAGGCUGAUGUAAGAAAGCAAAAGAUGUUACACAGAACCUGGUGUACAGUGGGUAUGACUAUUGUUGAAGAUGGAGGUAAAGUUGGGGAAAGGAAUGCAAACAUUGUGUUCUUCCUACCUAAAACUCUGAAAUCCUGCACGUUGUCUUGGGAUAACCAUUUGAUUGCGUAUUAGUGGAGGUUGUUCAGAGAAACAAGACCAAUAGGAUAUGUAUACACACAUAAAUGUGUAGAGAAAGAUAUUUAUUUUAAGGAAUUGGCUCAUGUGAUUAUGGAGGCUGGCAAGUCCGAAAUCUGCAGAAUUAGCUAGCAGGCUGGAGAACCAGGGAAGAGUUGUAGUUUGAGACAAAGUGGUCUGCUGGCAGAAUUCCCUCUUCUUAGGAGGAGGUCAGUCUUUCUCUUUUUAAGGUCUUCAAUGGAUUGGAUGAGGCCGAUACACAUUAUGGAAAAUAGUAUGCUUUACUCAAAGUCCAUCGAUAUAAAUGUUAACUCAUCAAAAAAAAAAUACCUUCACAGAGCCAUGUAGCAUAAUAUUUGACCAAAUAUCUGGGUACCGUGGUCUAGGCAAGUUGACACAUAAAAUUAACCAUCACAGACUGUGUUGCUGUCACUGGGUGACCAUUAAGGGAAGCACUGGGGGAACUCUACUGAUUGCCUUCCAUGUUAAGCAGAAUUCUUUAUAUUGCGAGGGGCAGAACACUAAUACAAACUGGUUUAAGUUGGGGGGAAGGACAGAGGAGGCACAAGAGGAGUUACGAACAAAGUAGCUCAAACUGUCAGGGAUUCUAGCUUCUAGACCCAGAGUCCCAUAUGUUACCAUGGGAUAAAACCUCCUCUCUUAUCUGCAUUAUCAGGCAAGUACUUUUUUGUGCUAGCUAGAUUGCUGACAGCUGCUCUUGGCUUAAAAUCUUCAUAGAUUCUUCUUCUUCUUUGAACUUCCAACGGAAAUCCUGAGCCUGAAUCUCACUGGCCCAGUUGGGUCAUGUGCUCACCCCUGAACUAAUCAAGAUGUGAAAGAAAAUGAACGCACUGAUUGGCUGAGACCAGGGUCACGGGACCUCCCUUGGCGCUGAGCUUCAGCCCCACCCAAGCCAAGUGGACUGACGCAGAGAAAGAGCAUUUUCCCUUGGAAAAUCAGACAGCUAUUUCCAGGAAUAGGACAGGAUGCUGGACAGGCUAAAUCAUCAUGUGACUGCUCCUGCCUCCUGUACAUGUCCCUUUUCUCCUCCCUGCCUGUUCCAUUCCCCUCCUUUUUCUCUUUUUUCCUCCUUUCUCCUCAGCAGCACAUAAACCACUUUCUAUCCCUUAAAAACCUGGCUUCUUCUUUCCUCAUCUGAAACUCCCAAUUCGUCUAAGAAAGCAGAUGCUUCAGAGGCAAGCUGCCUCUGAGAGCAGUUUCGAGCCUGAUUCUGUACGUGUGAUCAUUGCCCAGGGACAAUUUGGUCCUGGCUGAUCAGUCAGUGCCUUGCGCUUACGUUCCCAGUGUGGGAGGAAGGAACACAGAGUGACUUGAUACUAACUGACGCUGGAAGGAAGAAGAGUGAUGCUUCUUGUCUCCUUUCUUUGUCUAUCUACUAGGCCAGAGGUCUAGAGUAGAAAGUUUAGAAGGGAAAAUGGAGACUUAUCUCUGAGUUGCAGCAAACAGAAAGAAAUCUCAUGCUAGAAAGAUUAAAAAGUAGGGGGAAAAGCUUCCUGCAAACACUUUAGACAUAAUUGUAUACGUGUGCACGCACACACACACAUUCACUUGGCCCUGGAACAACACAGGUUUGAACUUUGCAGGUUAUAGGAAGAUUUUCUUCUGCCUUCUCCAUCCCUCAGACAAGAAUAACCCAUCCUCUUCCUCCUCCUCC